RNAcentral lists this ribosomal RNA (495 nucleotides) under uncultured bacterium. RNAcentral's name for it is "partial 16S ribosomal RNA". It matches the Rfam family "Bacterial small subunit ribosomal RNA", at positions 29 to 506 of the family's 1533-position model. The record is from RNAcentral.
AUGAACGCUGGCGGCGUGCCUAAUACAUGCCAGUCGAGCGAACGGACGAGAAGCUUGCUUUUCUGAUGUUAGCGGCGGACGGGUGAGUAACACGUGGAUAACCUACCUAUAAGACUGGGAUAACUUCGGGAAACCGGAGCUAAUACCGGAUAAUAUUUUGAACCGCCUGGUUCAAAAGUGAAAGACGGUCUUGCUGUCACUUAUAGAUGGAUCCGCGCUGCAUUAGCUAGUUGGUAAGGUAACGGCUUACCAAGGCAACGAUGCAUAGCCGACCUGAGAGGGUGAUCGGCCACACUGGAACUGAGACACGGUCCAGACUCCUACGGGAGGCAGCAGUAGGGAAUCUUCCGCAAUGGGCGAAAGCCUGACGGAGCAACGCCGCGUGAGUGAUGAAGGUCUUCGGAUCGUAAAACUCUGUUAUUAGGGAAGAACAUAUGUGUAAGUAACUGUGCACAUCUUGACGGGACCUAAUCAGAAAGCCACGGCUAACUACGU